UGUGAACCUGCGGAAGGAUCAUU
This 23-nucleotide non-coding RNA is filed under the name Mus musculus (house mouse). The record is from RNAcentral. RNAcentral also lists the same sequence under 1 other name. Lineage: Eukaryota; Metazoa; Chordata; Mammalia; Rodentia; Muridae.